CCCUGUACACACGGAUAACAUUCCGAAAGGUAUGCUAAUACGGGAUAAUAUAUUUGAGAGGCAUCUCUUAAAUAUCAAAGGUGAGCCAGUACAGGAUGGACCCGCGUCUGAUAAGCUAGUUGGUAAGGUAACGGCUUACCAAGGCGACGACCAGUAGCCGACCUGAGAGGGUGAUCGGCCACAUUGGAACUGAGACACGGUCCAAACUCCUACGGGAGGCAGCAGUGGGGAAUAUUGCACAAUGGGCGAAAGCCUGAUGCAGCAACGCCGCGUGAGUGAUGAAGGCCUUCGGGUCGUAAAACUCUGUCCUCAAGGAAGAUAAUGACGGUACUUGAGGAGGAAGCCCCGGCUAACUACGUGCCAGCAGCCGCGGUAAUACGUAGGGGGCUAGCGUUAUCCGGAUUUACUGGGCGUAAAGGGUGCGUAGGCGGUCUUUCAAGUCAGGAGUGAAAGGCUACGGCUCAACCGUAGUAAGCUCUUGAAACUGGGAGACUUGAGUGCAGGAGAGGAGAGUGGAAUUCCUAGUGUAGCGGUGAAAUGCGUAGAUAUUAGGAGGAACACCAGUUGCGAAGGCGGCUCUCUGGACUGUAACUGACGCUGAGGCACGAAAGCGUGGGGAGCAAACAGGAUUAGGUACCCUGGUAGUCCACGCUGUAAACGAUGAGUACUAGGUGUCGGGGGUUACCCCCUUCGGUGCCGCAGCUAACG
RNAcentral lists this ribosomal RNA (708 nucleotides) under uncultured bacterium. RNAcentral's name for it is "bacterial SSU rRNA". It matches the Rfam family "Bacterial small subunit ribosomal RNA", at positions 129 to 857 of the family's 1533-position model. The record is from RNAcentral.